Orcinus orca (killer whale) is the source of this 1961-nucleotide long non-coding RNA. RefSeq lists it as uncharacterized. The record is from RefSeq and is a predicted model, not a curated record. NCBI's taxonomy places the organism in Eukaryota, Metazoa, Chordata, Mammalia, Artiodactyla, Delphinidae. The transcript has 5 exons.
UAAUUCAGAUCUGUCAUCCUCCAUGCCUUUGAGAUUAAGGGUUGCAGAAUAUGGUCUCAGUGGAGAAGAGAUUCUGUGAACUAUCAGAAAGGGAAACUGUCUUUGAUAAGCUGAAACUCUUAAUUCAAAAAUAAAAGAGCCUGAAUUGAACCCAGUGUGUUCCAGGUACAUUAUGUUCAUGUUCUCGUUAAAUUCUCACAACAUCCUGAGAGAAACCAGAAUUACUACAUGGAAAUGAGACAGAAAAUGCUAUUAAGGUGAAGAAAAUUAUAUGGGUUUUUGGGGAUUGGAUGAUUUCCUCAAGGUCACUUUUGAUAUCAUGUAUUUGACUUCAAAAUUUAUGAUCUACCUAGUAUAUUCAUACAUCCAAUGAAUACCAGUUUAUUGAACACUUCAUAUUUUCCUGUUCUAGGAUUACAGAUUAACAACUUUCCCAACUAGAUGAAAAGCUGCCUGUACUGAUGAACAAUACAGCUUUGUUAUGGGAGACUGCCAUUCAGAUUGUUUCCUGCUGAGAAGAGCAGCCAAUUGGCCUCUUAUCUCAGGACACCAUAUUCUUUACUACAUGGCUUCACCACUAAGAUUAUGAAACUUUAUAUGUGCCGCAAGAUUUUAAAUCAAAUAUGUGUACUUUAUUUAGCCAACUUGUAAGGAAAAUGCCAAAUGCCACAAUCUAUAUACCAUUCCAGUUGAAGAUAUUUUUGUUAAUUUUUAAAAUAACAAGUGAAAGAGAUUCAUUAUACCUAUUUCCAGUCCAUAUAUAAUCCCUAAAAUUAUCUUUGGCCAGUGGUGUCACCCUUCUAGUCUAUCAACUCUUUGAAUAAACAGUUAAAUGCACUAACUUGACUUCCAUGGAUUUUCAUUGUCUUAAUGUGUCAUCAUAUAAAAAUGUUAAUGAAGCAUGAAGUUGCCAAAUAACAAGUACAAGGAUAUACUAAUUUGGAUGUGUUUGGAUGCAUGCGAUAAGAAACUCAACUCAAAGUGUCUCACAUGGUGAAGAAAAUCUAUUACAGCACAUUGCAGUUCUAUCAAAGGAGGGUAGCUCCCAGGUGGGUGAAUUUAGUGGCUCAAAAACUACAUCAAGGAUCCAAGUUUUUGCUGUUCUUAUACUCUGCCAUAUUUCAUGGAUUAGCUUUAUUUUCAAGGCAGCCCUCCCUGUGAUUUCCACUGCAGUUCCAUAGGAAGACCUGCAAAUUCCAUGAGAAGAAGAGGGAUAUUUUUAUCCAGUGUCCAAAUUAUGAGAGGUAAGGGGAGGCAAGACAUCUUUCCCAGAAGCCUCCGCAUUCUUCUCUGUCUCUUUAUUGACCAGACAUGCUCCUGUGCUCAUGCUUAAACUGAUUACUGACAAGCAGGAGAAUCACAGCUUCCCGGUGAGCACAUGACCACGUGGAAGAUGUUGGAUGGCUGAACAAAAUGGAUACUCUGUAAGUAAGUAAGAAAGACGGGGCUGAAGAUUUGCUGAGUGGGCACAUUUAAUAAGAGGCAGAGCAAGAAAACAGCGGAUAAGUUUCAAGCAGUACAACUUAACAAUUUGACUUUUUAAGGGUAUAUGUAUUCCUCCAAUAUGCCUUGUGGACCAGAGUCAGGCGGCUCCUUACUGACUUGGCCACGAUUCCAAAGUUCUAUCAGCCCCACUACGCCUCGUUCUGUACUGCCCUAUUUUAUUCUAUAUUGCUUUAACUUAUUAUUUUAAUUCCUUUAAUAUGUGUCUUACCUCACCAGGUUGACCUUGAGCCCCCUGGGUUCGGGGCAUUAUCUCCCUUGCCCCUUCUUGUCUCUUUCCUGGCUCUCACUCUUACCCACCCCCCUUUGUCUAAACUUCUUACUGGUCAGUUGCUUGUUUGAUACCUUAAGAUUCUGAUGGAUAUUAAAGUCCUGUAUGCCCUUGUCAAAAGAUGGGAGUAAAUUCUUUCCUACAUGCCUUCUCUGAGUUUAGCCAAUGCCAAGUUCAUUAUAGGUUC